This 63-nucleotide transfer RNA is filed under the name Philolithus actuosus. Its description in RNAcentral is "tRNA-Trp". The record is from RNAcentral. RNAcentral also lists the same sequence under 2 other names. Lineage: Eukaryota; Metazoa; Arthropoda; Insecta; Coleoptera; Tenebrionidae.
AAGGAUUUAAGUUAAAAAAACUACCAACCUUCAAAGUUGGAAAUAGAGGCUCUCUAAGCCUUA